AUUGAACGCUGGCGGCAUGCUUUACACAUGCAAGUCGAACGGUAACAGGCCGCAAGGUGCUGACGAGUGGCGAACGGGUGAGUAAUGCAUCGGAACGUGCCCAGUCGUGGGGGAUAACUACUCGAAAGAGUAGCUAAUACCGCAUACGAUCUAUGGAUGAAAGCGGGGGACCGUAAGGCCUCGCGCGAUUGGAGCGGCCGAUGUCAGAUUAGGUAGUUGGUGGGGUAAAGGCUCACCAAGCCAACGAUCUGUAGCUGGUCUGAGAGGACGACCAGCCACACUGGGACUGAGACACGGCCCAGACUCCUACGGGAGGCAGCAGUGGGGAAUUUUGGACAAAGGGCGCAAGCCUGAUCCAGCAAUGCCGCGUGCAGGAAGAAGGCCUUCGGGUUGUAAACUACUUUUGUACGGAACGAAACGGCUCUGGUUAAUACCCGGGGCUAAUGACGGUACCGUAAGAAUAAGCACCGGCUAACUACGUG
Molecule: ribosomal RNA, 482 nt
Filed under: uncultured bacterium
Lineage: Bacteria
Description: partial 16S ribosomal RNA
Rfam family: Bacterial small subunit ribosomal RNA
Source: RNAcentral